Molecule: long non-coding RNA, 14064 nt
Filed under: Lactuca sativa (garden lettuce)
Lineage: Eukaryota; Viridiplantae; Streptophyta; Magnoliopsida; Asterales; Asteraceae
Description: long non-coding RNA (LSAT_LNC009395)
Source: RNAcentral
AAUUGAUUGAAAAAGUUUAAAUCAAUAGCAGAACGAAUAAGAAGAAUCAAGUAGGCAGAAAGAUAAAAGUUUCUCCAUUCUAAGAAGAAGGGAGAGUACCUUUUAUGCUUUAUGAUAGGUCUUAAUGAUUAAGAACCAUAUCUCAAUUGAUCCUCUAAGUGAGUCUUAGUACAAUUGUAUGUCUAAGAAGAGGAAUCAAGAAUUGAAGAAAUGGUUAAAUCAAGAAGUCAAUCAUACUUCGUUCCAAAACAAGUCUUAGAGUUAAGAUUGUGAAAUUGAGUGAAAAGUAUUAAGAAGGUUUAUAACAUUCAUCAAAUGUGGAAAGUUGUGAUGUCUUGGAUAAGACAAAGACCAACUAGGACCAAUUUAUGAAGUGUUUUGAUAAAAGCUACACUAACUCUUGAAUAUUUGUUUGUCAAGAAAUGGUUAUUGACAAGAGAAUCUUAUAUGUCAAGGAGUCAGUGGGAGUCUUAAUGGUCUUGAAAGGUUUCAAGAACAAAUCAAAUAAACCUUAUCGAUCAUCACUAGCACACGAGUUGAGGUUUACAACCUAUCGUGUUGACAUUAUUUUGUUUCUGUGCCAUUCCAAUUGAGUUAAUUAUGCAUGUGAGUUCUAUGAGUUCUCAUUUGAAUGCAUAAAAGGCAAGCACCUUGAUCAAUGAAAAGUACAUUGAUAGGAAAGGGUGAGCUGCUUAACUACUUGGAAGACAUGGUGGGCAGCUGUGCUACCAUAAGGCAAGAAAUCAAGAUUAAGAAAGUUCGGUCCAUAUGAGUUUGAAUUUGUCGUAAACUUUGGUUUUAACAAAUUCACAUGGAUAGGAACACAUACACCAUUAAAAUCUAAGUGUCAUAAGAUUUCCUCCUUCAUGAAAAUGAUUGUGAGGAAAUGCUUUCACUAAGAAAGAUUUUAAGAAGAUAGUGAUUGUAAAAUUGUAUUCUCGAAUUCGAUUAUGGUUACGGUAUCCCUUUCCAUGAUUCGAAUUGUGAGAUUUGGCAAUUAGUCUGAAUUGUUUAGACACACAUAUGAGCUAUCUAAGGGAAAGGUGUAUAAGCUUAGAUAAAGGAUUAUCAAAGCAUUAGGUAUUAGAAACAUGAACUUAAGAAAUUCAAUAAGUAUUGUUUUUCUGGAAGUUAAGUUGUUUUCUGAAUACAUGUCAAAGCUAGUGGGAGCAUAAGUGUUAUGCUUAUAUGAUAAUAAUCAUCAUGAUAGUGGGAGCAUAAAUGUUGUGCUUGUAUGAUUAUUAAGGCAAGUAUUGCAAGUUAGCAAUAUUAAUUAUAGAAAACAAGAGUUAUACUUUGCAAAGUCAUAAGGGUUGAAUAGUUGUUUUGCUAUAAUUAAGGGAGAGAAUAUUAUGCUUCAUUUCAAAUCUAAAGGCUUAGGUUGUGGAAUGUUAAUAAAUUUAGUCAAGGAUACAUAGUGUGUUCUUAAAUUUCGAUUAUGAUUACGACAUUCCUCUUCACAAUUCGAAUUUUGAGAACAUAGCAAAUAAAAUAUUAUGGCAGAAGAUUGAUAAAGUAUCAAAUCUUUAUGUAAGACAUUAUGCAUCGUGUCCCAUACGCUUUGGGUAUAGGAUCGAUUGCAAAUGCUAUAAUAUUUGACCAUUCUAAAAUUUUCCAAAUGUCUAGCGCAUUUAGAGGGAAAAAGGACUAGAAUCGGUUUUGACUAAAAUAAUUAAACAACUAUCAAAGGACGAUCCAAAGUUCGCUGAGGAUUGGUCGCUUGUGAGUAGUUGGAAGUAUGAUAUUGGAUGGACCAUAUCGACAUUAUUAUGAAUAGAUAAGAUUCUAUUAAGAAUGAGUUGUCAUAUGGUAAGUAUGGAAAGGUUUCCAUAUUGGGAAUUGAAUAUUAAGAAUCUAUGUCUAGAUUAGAAACUUUUAUGCAAAAGGAUGUUCAAAGGAAUGUACUUUGAGUGAGAGACAUCACAUCUAUGGAAUUGUCUUGUAACACUCUCCGAUAGAGGACUUUGUAACUUCAUUGGCAAUAGUCAUUGUGACUUUAGUGCAGUGACACUACGAAAGGAUCAUUCAAUAAAAUGUUAGAAUCUAACAUAUUUUAUAAGUAGCAUGAAUUUGAUAUUCUUUCACUUAUGAUAAAGGAUUAGGAGUUGUGAAAUGAGUAUGAUUGGAAAUAUGUUUAUUUGAUCUAUUUCACAAAGUAAGAUCCGUAGGUAAACAUUGUGUGCAUACUAAGAGCAUGGGACAAGUGUUGUAAUUCAAGUAAGAAGUUGAUUACCCGAAAUGACAAAUAAUGAGUAAUCAAUAUGGUGAUAAACAAAAGGUGUUUCAUUUAUACUCAAAGGUUUGAGGCCAUAUGGGAUUAGUAUUAUUCUUGUGUUUCACAUUUACAUGUUUUGACUUCCAGAAUAAUUGAGUUUAUUAAGAAUAGUCGAAUUAUUCAAACGGGCCACAGUCGUUCAUAUGUUGGAAGUAGAUAUGAAUGAAGACUGUCGUGAAUUGGUGUGUGGAUUGUCUAAAAGAGUAUUAGACAUAAGCAAAUGUUUGCUGCAACGUUCAUGAGUGCUUAUGAAUAUGAUUUGAGCAUUGGAUUAAACCCACGCUCACUUGGAUCACUCCAUGAAUUGUAUCACGAGUGAUUGGUGAGACGAUAACAUCUUAUAUUCUUGAAACCGAGAUGUGUGAGUUGUAUCUUGCAAAUCGAUUGCACAUUGAUAAUAUGUAAACGCACCAGUAACUUGGUGUUAUAAAACAUAUUGUUGUGUGUGAUUCCGUGAGUGAGUGCAAGAAAGCAUUGUAUCAAAGUUUAUCCGUUCCUUUUAUCCAAAGUAGGAUAAAAGCGAUAUCUUUGGGCCCCUCGAUGAUUUAGUGAUGACAAACGUAAAUGCUCGGCCGGGCUAGGGCUAAUUUGAUUUGUUCAAUUAGUCAGUCGUCAUAAAUCGGGAAUCGAGAUAUAGUACAAAGAGAAUGAUUUGAAAUCAUAUCUCAUAUGAUAUCUAGAAUGGAGGAAUAUAUGAUCCCUUAUCUAAGGACACGCGUAUCUGAUAGGAUCAGAGUUGACAGCGGCUUUGGAAAGCUACGAUUGCAGAUCAGGAUCUGAAGUCAUACGCAGAAUAGUUAUUAGACUUAUCCAAGUGGGAGACUGUUGGAUUAGUGUCUAAGUCCAUAACUAUUUUGGUAUGUACUUGACCCGAUGGUGCAUGGUCCUUUUGGGUUGCCUUCACCAAAGCAACUUGAUUGGAGAAAUAAAUAGAGAGAGAGGUUAUUAUGAUUUAUUAAUAUGUUAUAAGAAUAAUAUAUUAAAGGAGAAAUCAUAUUUGUUUAAUUAAUAUUGGUCAAUAAUUAAUUAAGAAUUAAUUUUGUGAUCAAAUGUAAUUAAUUAAACUAGAGGGGCUGAAUUGUAAUUAUGUGAUAGUUACAAAAUAAGGUAAGGAUUAUCUUAUUAAUAGGUUGGACGAAUUUAAGGUGAUAAGGCCUUAGAAUUCGACUAUGAUAAGGAUUCAAGGAUUAUCUUAUGGGUUGCUUGGUGGACAAGCAACUAGAUAAGGAUAAUGACUGAAACCCUAUCUCUACACCUAUAUAAACACCCCUUGACUCAUGAAUUCGGCCAGACCUUCCCUAAGGCUUCUUAGGAACAAAUUCAAUACCUCCCCUCUCUGCUUAUACCCUCUCCAUUUGCUCUUGGUGUUUGUAAGCCAUUAGAGGAGUGACACUUGUGAUUCUAAGCCUUCCAAAGUCAAUUCAAGGAGGAAUUGGGGUUGUUAUUGCUACAUAACAAUCAAGGUAAUAUCUUAAACCUAAUUAUAUGUUAAUAACGAUUUCCAUAUGCUAGAAUUAGGGUUUAUAGUCUUGGAUUCAAAGCAUGUACAAUAGAGAAACCUAGAUCCAAGCAUUAGGGUUUGUAUGAGCACAUAGGAUGUCUUAUGACCAAAACACAUCAAUUAUAAGCCUUGCAUGCACAUACAGUUUGCAACUUUAUGUGAUAAACAUGCCUUGGGAAGCUGGACUCGGUGAGUUGCAUGGCCAACUCGGCAAGUCCAAUUAAGAUUGUCAUAUAAGGACUUCUGCAUGGACUCGGCGAUUCGGUGGGGUGACUCGGCGAGUCAACUAGGGUUUUCCUAACUUUCGGACACGCUUGAACUCAGCGAGUUGUUGGAAACUCGACGAGUCAGUGACUGCACUCGACGAGUCGGGUCAACAUGGACUGUUGACCUUGACCGUUGACUUUGACCUUGGCCAAGGGUUGGCUAAUUGACUUCUAGGGUAUUUUGGUAAAUGGGAAAUUUAUGAGUAUGGUUUUAUGGUAAAUAUAGGUGGUGGAGUUUGUGGUGGUGAUCCAAGAGUUUGAGCUUAUCUUUCGAGUCGACAGUUGCGAGAUGAGUUAUUCUCACUAUAUCAAUAUGGUCUAAGGCAAUAAUGUCGGCCCAUCUGAUUGUAUAUGGGUUUGUUUCAUGAUAUGCUUAUUAAUUUACAUCCUAGUAGUUAGGAUGGUUAUAUGCUAUAUUAGUGAUCGGUUAGGUAUGUAUCCUGGUAAUAGGAUGUUGCUAUGAUUAGUGAUCAGUUAAAUCGGUUUGACUGUUAUGUAUGCUAGCGUAUGAUAUAUAUGAUAUGUAUGAUAUGUGCACAUGUUUGUUGAUUGGGGGUUGGGUUGAGGCAAUCCUUCUUUGUGCUGAAGGCCAACAUACCCAGGGCGCUUCGAAUAUAUUGAAGGUCCUGCAAAAAGGUUCAGUUAGGCCGAAGGCCUAACGAGCGGUCUGAAUAGGCUGUAGGCCCUGCGAGGUGGUGCAGACGUGCCAAAGGCUCGGAGAGCGGUCCAUAUAGGCUGAAGGCCUGCAAGGAGGUCCAAUCAGUUUGAAGGCUCAUUAUGCAUGUUGUUUACCUAUAUGUUUAUAUGAUAUGGUUAUGACUGUGUGGCGUUGGAAUUUUGGGGGAACUCACUAAGCUCUCAGGCUUACAGUUUCAGUUUAUCGUUUCAGGUACAUCAGGGGACUGUGGCUAGGAAAAGGCGUGAUCAUGCUACUCCUCACUUUUUAUGACUAUGUUUUUGGGAGACUCUGAUAUAGACUAUUUUUAAAACGAAUUUGUAAUGACUGUUUGUUUUAUAUGUUUUAAAAGUUUCAAUUUGGCAUGAUUUUUAUGGGUGUUACAAGUUAGUAGCAGAGCCUUGGUUUGAGUGAAUUGGAGGAAUAUUCAUGUGAAUCCAGUCUCAAAUCAAGAAAAAGAUUCUCAAAGUGGUUUUCAAAAUAUUAACGGAGGAUGCAAGAGUACAAUCAGGCGGAGCUCGCUGAUAGACCCCAAAAUACCUUACGGAUUAUUUGAUUUUGUGAUAUGUUAGAACAGAAUGCUAGUACUUGGCUAGGGAUCUUCAGGAAUUGCAUGAUAGAAUUGCCUGAUUAUACGAUGCCUAAUAGCCUAGGGUUUUCCUUAUAUGAAAUUGACAUCAUUACUGUAGUUACUUAGUGUAUGCAUCACGGUCAUACAUAAUUAAGAUCUUAUAGCCUGAGAAUGUUUGGUUUGGCCUUAUUUCCUGUUCUUGUUUGAUAAAGGGCUUAGGGUAGGAUCAGGUAUUCAAAAGUCUAUAGAGUCUAACGUUAUGUAUGGUUAGCAUACACGAGUGCUACAGGGUUGGUGGAAGUUUCAUGGAUAUGUGGAUUAUGUGAGGCCGGUAGGUCAGUUGUGAGACAAUUAGCCUUCCUCUAGGAGUGAGGAUUGAGCGACUACCAUGUAUAUGUAUGUUGUUAGGGUGUUUUGAUGAUACUUGAGACAAAUAUGGGUAGGUUUGGAAGGUAGUAUGGGCCCGUACUAAUGAAAGCAUAGGAUCCAUACGUGUAGCAAGAAAGUCACAACCCUUAGGGUUCAGUCGGGAGUUGGUUCCCUGUUAUUUAUGUGGAUUAUCUGAUAUCUUCCAGUUAUAUUUUAAGUAUGGUGCUUACGAGGCAUUUUGUGACUGGAUCCGGAUCGGGAUCAGGGCAGGGAGAUCAGGAGGCCCCGACAGCGCCCGAGGUUAUCAGACAGGAUGGGCCAGCAUUGACAGAGGAUCGUGUUAGGGAGAUCGUCCGUCAUGAGGUGGUCGAGAUUGUCCGCGGUCAGAUUCCGGAGUUGUUUGGGUCUAUAAAGACUGCUAUGAUGGAGUACUUCGAUGAUAGAUACACAGCCCUUGCCGAGAUGGUUGCCGCAACAGCUACAACAGUUGUAACCGCAGCAGGGGGAGGAGUUAGUCGGGCAUUCCAGUACCAGGACUUCGAUAACACGAAGCCCCCUAAUUUUGAUGGGAUUCAGGAUCCCAUCAAGGCCAUGAGGUGGUUAUCUGGUGUGGAGGGGUGUUUCUUCACAUGUUCGAGUCCUACUGACCAGAAGGUCAGAUGUGCCCUGAACCUAUUGAGGUCUGGGGCAAAGGACUGGUAGAGGUUGAUGACUAGGUCUUAUACUGAUGAUCAAAGGUUUGCGGUUACUUGGGAGAAGUUCAUGGAUAUUUUCCGCACACACUAUAUUCAACGAGUUGAGCGAGAACGGUUAGCUCAUGAGUUCUUGGAUCUGAGACAGGGUAUCGAGUCCAUGACAGAGAUCACCCGAAUGUUUACCGAGAGGGCAAUGUUUUGCCCGGAGUUUGCUUUUGAGCAGGCUCAGAUGACGCAUUAUCUGAGCAUCCUGAAGAUCGAUAUCCGUCAGUUUGUUGCAACUCAACGAUGUGAUACUUUGCUAGAGUUAUAGGAGGCCACCAGGCGGCGGGAGCUUGAGAUUGAUUUGCAGCUUCGAGAGUAGACGCAGUCCCCGACACAGUCCCAGCCGGUGCCGAUGUAGUCAAAGACCGUUGAUACUUAGUCUGGAGAGCAGAAGGGCCGCACUUGUGGGAAGUGCGAGAAGGUUCAUUCGGGGGUGUGUCGAUCGGGUAGCGGGUGCCACAAAUGUGGCAAGGAGGGGCAUUAUGCGAGGGACUACCGCCAGAACGCCCCUGCUCCGGAUAUGAGGAUAUGUUAUCACUAUCAUCAGGUUGGUCAUAUGAAGACCAACUGUCUAUAGCUCGCUGCUAGGUCGGCGCAGGCUCUAGCACUGGCUACAUUGAGGAUUCCCGAUGGGAGGCAGGGUAGAGCAGAGCCCCCGACAGCUCAGGGGUGCGCAUUCUAGCUUAUAGUUGAGGAGGCCAGAGCAGCACCAGAUGUGGUUGCUAGUAUGUUUCUAUUCCUUAUCUUAUUUCUUAUAUCUGUUUUAUACUUACCUGUGAUUAGGUACGUUUUUAGUAAACUCCUUUCCUGCAUUGGUUUUAUUUGACCCGGGGACGAGUCGGUCGUUUGUAUCUCAUACAUUUAUUAGGGAGUUCAGUGUGCCAGUAGGAGAGUUAGAGUGUCCGUUGCGAGUCUCUAUCGCCAACGAACACCGGGUUUCUGCUUCUUCAGUCUACCAAGGAUGUGAGUUGGAGAUCUUUGGGGUGUCUUUCCCGAUCGAUUUGAUUCCGAUCCCCAUGGGGGAUGUGUGUGUGAUUGUGGUUAUGGACUUGCUUAGUCGAUUCGGUGUUAUGAUCGACUACGAGGGUUAGCGAGUGGUGGUUCGGACCCCAAGUGGGGGAAAAUUGAUCGUCUAAGGCGAGGGUACCAAGCAAGGAUUAGGCUUUUCUUCUGCUGUCAGGCUCGACAGUAUAUCCAGCACGAGUGUGCGGGUUAUCUAGCGUACGUGGUGGAUAUGCCGGACAGAGAUCAAAUUUCAGUAUCAGAGGUUCCAAUGUGUAACAUACACGUUUUGAAAUCGUGUUUUGUAAUGAAUAAAAUUGUGAAAUACUAUGUGAAAUUGAGUGUUGAGUUCUAACAGAUGGUUUUUACUAUAAGUGAAGUAAAACUAUGUUUAGAAUCACUCAUAAAAUAUUGGAAGUCAUAUGAGAUUCCAAUUAAAAGCCAAAUAGUGAAAUAUAGCGAAAAUAUAAAAUUUGAAAUAAGUAAAAUUUUAUUAUUGAAAGUGGUAUAUAAUCUCGUUAAAAACAUUUAGGCGAAAACCUCGUCGAAAUCCAAGUUAUAACGAAGAAGUUAUGACCAAUCAAAGAUUCGCGACAAAACCGGCACGACGCCGAAUGACGUAAAAAGUGAGUUUUUGAUAAACUACUUUUUAGCCUUAGUGAUCUAAAUGAAAGUCAUAGUAUUCGUUAAACCGAGAAGUUCGAUAAAAAGAACGUCAAAAUCUGACUUCGUAUGAGGAAGUUAUGAUUUUUCUAAGUUUUAGAGUAGCAGUAGACAGCUAAAAACGCGAAUUUUAGAUCGAGCGAUAUUCAACUGAUACAACCUAAACGAGAAUUGAAGAUCUCGUCAUUUGUAGUACAACGGUAAAAAGUCUGACAAAAACGGACGUCGGAUGAAGAAGUUAUGAAUUUUUAACGGAUUUUCUUGUCACGGUCUGUUAAAAAUAUAAUAAUAAAAAUAAAUCCAAAAUUAGCCGACGGAAUCUAAACGAAAGUUGUAUAUUAUAUUAUCACCUACACGUGCAUAUAAAUAACGUCAAAAACGGAGUUCAUAUGUGAAAGAUAUGAAUUUUUGAAUUUAUUAAAUAAUAAUAAAUGAAAAACGGAAGUAUUAUCCGAAGCCGUAUUCCCCGCGUACGUGAGAGUUACGCCCAGCGUACUUCGCACGUAAAAGGUCCGGAGUCAGCCACGUCUACCUAUCUUCGCAUGAUUGCCACGUAGAAGCCCGAGUUCCGAGCUGCUGCCACGCCUCGUACGCCCAGCGUACUCCGAGGCUUCGGCCAGCUAUAAAAGGGACGCGAGACAGCCCAGUUUUGUUUGGAAACUUUCACUCUUUUACACCAUAUACCAGUGUUCUAAAAGGCGCGCCAUGGCAUGAGGCGCGGCGUCGCCGUUACAAAAAGCUUCAUAACGUUGCUGUUAGGCGUGGCGCGUGGCAAGGCCUGAUAUGGCGUGCUAUGGCGUGUUAUGGCGUGUUAUGGCGCGUGUUUUUUCGUUUGAGACGCGUUUUUGUGCUCUUUUUUAUACCUUUUCUAAUCGGACAUACAAGUAUUGUGUUUUUUAUUAACUUUCUAUUAUUAGUUGUUGAUAUAACACUUCUAAAAACUAGGUAUAUUUGAUAUAAAUUUAUAUUUAUGCGGUAAUAUAAUUAUAAAUUAAUACAAAAUCGCCGCCUUACAUCACUCCUUGAAAAAAUCCAUGGCUCGCCAUAACUCGUUAAGCUUGAGGCUUGGCCUUGUCGCCACGCCACGCCUCUCGCCUUUUAGAACCUUGCCAUAUACUCUAUAUUUAGCCCACUUUUAACCCCUCGAAGUCCCGUUAUCAAUCCCGACACCCGAAGCAAGUCCCAGCGCCCCGAAGAUCCCGAGAAAAUUAUAUUUUAAGUCGAAACUCUGCCCGAGUAAAGUCCGGUUUUCAACUAAAAACCCCGGUUUCGCCCCAGAAAGUCAUAUUUGGAGCCGAAGUACUGUCCAAAUUAUUAUUUUAACCCCGGUUAUUUCAAGAUGAGUUCAAUAUAUAGGAACAAUUGUAUGUUAUGUGUUAUAUGUGCUAUGUGCUUUUCAGUGUUAUUAUUCCGAGUUAUUUUCCCGUGUUAUUUUAUUUGCUAUUUUUAUAGCAAGUGUAAUACCUUUGACCAUGUGAUCAGUGAAAGGACAUAGAUUCACAUUGGUACUAGUACGUAGCCUCUGGCCAUGUAGAGCAUGUCCUUGUAAGAGAAUGACUUCUAUUCUAUGGCAUUGGCAAAUGGUUAGACAGGACUAUAAGCCUGAAAUCUAACAAGAUGUUAAUCAUAAAUCUUAUGUCUUCUGUGCCAUUUGGGUCGAAGCUUUAUUGAUGUUUAUCAAGUAUUUAUGUCUCAUUGAUUGUAUAUCUUUGAAUCAAGUCAUUGAUUGAUAUGAAAAGCUUGUCACAUAAAUGUUGGAUUAGUGUCUAAGUCCAUAACUAUUUUGGUAUGUACUUGACCCGAUGGUGCAUGGUCCUUUUGGGUUGCUUUCACCAAAACAACUUGAUAGGAUGAAUAAUGAAGAGAAAGGAUUAAAUAUGAUUUAUUAAUAUAUUAUGAGAAUAAUAUAUUAAAGGAGAAAUCAUAUUGUUUAAUUAAUAUUAGUCAAGAAUUAAUAAGAAUUAAGUUUGUGACUAAAAGAGAUUAAUUAAACUUAAGGGACUAGAAUUGUAAUUAUAAGAUAAUUGCAAUUGGGCCAUGGAUUGCCUUAUAUUAUAAGGUUGGACGAAUUCUAUGGGGAAACCCAUUAGAAAUCGUCCAAGGCCUUUAAGGAAAGGAGUCCAUGGGUUGCUUAGGGCUUAAGCAUCCAAAUUAGGGUUUCCUUGUUAGAUAACCCUAAUAGCCUCACUAUUUAAAGAGCCCUUAUGCCCUAAAAACAUGGACAAGCUUCCUUCUAGGGUUGCCAUACGUUUUGGGCAGCCUCCUUCUCUUCUCCUCUUCAUCCUCUUGCUCUUGGUGUUUAUGAACCAUUAGAGGAGUGACAUUUGUGACUCUAAGCUUUCUAAAGUCAAUACAAGAAGGAUUUGGGAUUGUUAUUGCUAUAUAACAAUCAAGGUAAUAUCUUAAACCCAUUCUUAUGUUAAUAUGAUUACUUGUAUGCUAGAAUUAGGGUUUAUAGUCUUGGAUAACUUGCAUGUACAAUAGAGAAACCUAGAUCCAAGCAUUAGGGUUUGUAUGAGCACAUAGGAUGUUCUUAUGACCAAAACCCAUCAGUGGUAUCAGAGCCUUGAUUGGUUUCUAUUGUAUUGAUGCCUUGUAUGUUUGUUCAAGUUGAAAAAUUCGAUUUUUGUGAAACUGCCUGAUGAACUCGGCGAGUCCCAUUGUGGACUCGGCGAGUAGGCCCCUACUCGGCGAGUCCAUAUGGGUACUCGGCGAGUUCGAGCGUCAGAAAGAGGGGAUUUCGGGAUUUCUUGCUGUUUUUCUCAUGGAUACUUGCCUUAUCUGUUUUAGAUCAUUAAAAUACGAUUUUAAUCAUAUUUUUGAGUAUAUCCUUGAUUAAACAAAAGAUAAUUACCAAUUGAUUAGAUAAUAACUUCCUUAUAUGAUUAAAGUUGAUUAUUUGUAUUAAUUGGGUAACUUAUUUUGCAAGAAAUUGAAAUUAGGUCAAAUAUAGAUAAUGAUAAAAUUAAUUGUUUAAUUUAUAUUAUUUGUUAUUUGAUCCUUGUGUUAUGAAAAGUUUCAAUUUUCCCCUUUAGGUUUUAUAGUUUAAAUUUGAACUCAAAAGUUUUGUUUUGAAAUUUAAAUAGUUGAAACCCUAAUGUUUUGAAAAGGUUUCAAAACUUGCCCUCAAGUUUUGGAAUUUAAAUUUUGAUUAAAAGUUUAAUUUUGAUGUAUAUUUAAAUUCUAAACCCUAAUGUUUUGAAAUGUUUCAAAACUUGCCCUCAAGUUUUGGAAUUUAAAAGUUGAUUAAAAGUUUAAUUUAGGAAUGUUAAAUUCUAAAACCCUAGUAUUGUUUUGAAAAGUUCAAAUCACACCCUUAUGGUUUUAUUAAUUAAUUAAGGUGUAUAAUUAAAAGAGGUUUAAUAAAUCCAUAAAAGUUUAGGUUUACAAUUUAAUUGAAUUAAAAGUAUAAUUGUUAAAUUUGACCACCUAGUAUUUUAAAAGUGUAAAAUACACCCUAUACUAUAUAUAACAUUAAAAGUCUAACAUUAUAUAUAUGUAUGAGUAAAAGUCAGUCUUACCGUUAGUAGGCCUCAUUCACGAAGCUGGUCUAUAAGGGGUGUUUAAGGAAAUUGCCUAUAAAAUGGCGAUUGAAUGGGUAUCCACUCUUACCCACCGCACUCUUGACUAGUGGAGGGUCGUUAGCCGAACGGGUAGGAUAGGACAAAACCUUCCAUUAUAAGUAUAAUGAAGUACAAAAGUAACUAAAUGUUUUACAAAUUCCCAAUCUUAGUUACUUAGGCAAAAGUGAAUUGAUGCAAUUCCAUGAAAUUACACUUUGUGCCCUUGCGAAGACGUUAGUGGAGCGUGUGUGGUUUACCGGCACACUAAAUGGUUCUAAGCAAAGGUAGCAAAGGGUGACUCAAUGUUUGUCAUAGUUCGGUGGAGCGUGUGUGGUUUACCGGCACAUCGAAUAGGUGACUGUAACAUGUGAGGGCACCAUGUAAGUUUGCAUGGUUAUUCACACCCGCUUUGUGAUCCUCGGCAUCCCAGUCACAAACAAGAGGGGCAUAUCGAGAUUUAAACAUGCCAUUGAAAGUUCAAUGAAUCUCAAAGGAUCUAGGAGUUUUCAUAGAUUUAAAACUUAAAUUUCAUUUUCGUUUUUAAUGGUGGAAAUUAGUGAAUCGUCAUUCACUUACCUUCAAAUAUUUUGCAACUAGAUUACGACAUCCUUUUUCUAGGUUGUAGCAUAUUGUGUUGGGUCCUAGCCUUAGUAUCUCAUUUGGGUGAUUUACUAAGGACUUAAUCAAUCAACUAACUUGAAUUCGUUUUCUCCCGUUUUGUAGAUGUCAAAGUUCGACAACUAUGGUCUUCCCAAAUCCCGUGGAACAAGCAUUCCACAUGAAGAUGAUAUUCCACGAUUCGAUCGAGGAACAAGAAAUCAUGCUUCACUUCCUCCACCUCCUCCAAUUAUUCUCCCUAAACCACAAGUUCGAAGGCUUGAAAAGUUCAAGCUCACUCAAGCCCUUUUGGCAAGUAAACAUAAAGAAGGAAAGUCGGUGUGUGCACACGUCCUAGGGAUGAAGUCGCACAUUGAUAGGUUAAGAAUGUUGGGAUCCGUUGUCUGUGAGGAGAUGGCUAUUGAUUGGGUUCUUCAGUCACUUCCUAACUCAUAUAGUGAGUUCGUAAGAGAGUACUAUAUGAUGAACNACGUGACCCUUAUAGAUCUCACUUAUAUGCUUAUUGCUGCUGAAUCAACAAUAGUAUGGCGCAAUGGAGAAGCAAAGUUGAUUGGUGAAUCUGCCUUCCAGACCUCUAUGGAUAUAGGCAUUAGCAACGAAAAACAUGCCAUGAUCGAAGAGUUUGAUCACAAGAGAAAGGCAAUGUCUGAAAUAGUUCCAUCUGCUGUUCCAAAAGAGUCAAUUUGCUUUUAUUGCUAAGAAAAGGGGCAUUGGAGACAAAGUUUCCCUAUUUACCUAAGAGAUCUAAGAGAUGGGAGAGUCAAAACAUAUGGCUCUGCUUUAGGUAAAAUCCAUUGAUUAACCCUUUUAAGCUUCUAUUCUAGAUUCUUAAUACAUAAUGUGAUAAGAUUACAAUUGAUGUUUUGUAGGAUCGAAGAAAAGAAAGGAAGCUUAAGGGAAGAAGUGAGCAGAAUCUAACCGUGAAGGAAUGGAUUUCGAUCGCAUUACUUGAAGAUUAGAUUCUUGAGCUACUACUUAGAGUUAGAAUAAGAUUGCUAAGAAAGAUGUAUUAGCAUAGUUUUUCAAUGAAUUGCAUUGUAAGGACAAAAUUUUUCCGCAAUAAAAUAAAUUUUGAUUUUAUAUUAUUUAUUUAUCUUUACAAUGGCGUGUAUGAAAAAUUGGUGUUAGAAUGUUUAUAUUAUUAGCAAUAAUGGAUUUUUUUCUUAAUUAUGUUAUUUGUGGAAAUGUCGAAAAUUUACCGAAUAGGGAAAGUUUCUCAUCGGCCAAGUUUCAGUUGGACAGAAACUUGGAAUCAUGCAACUUGGUUGCACGAUGAAUGAGAAAUUUCAUAUUUGGAAAUUAGACUAAUUCAUUGACAAAGUGUCAAGUGAAGGACUAGGAGAUCAAGUACACAAAGUUGUGUGUUGAUCAAGUCCACCAUAAGAGUAACAAAGAUAUUCGUCAUGAUUUACUAAAGGUUUAGUAAAUAUGAUUAUACUUAUAAGAUUAAGUGUAAUUCUGAAUUGAUUGAAAAAGUUUAAAUCAAUAGCAGAACGAAUAAGAAGAAUCAAGUAGGCAGAAAGAUAAAAGUUUCUCCAUUCUAAAAAGAAGGGAGAGUACAUUUUAUGCUUUAUGAUAGGUCUUAAUGAUUAAGAACCAUAUCUCAAUUGAUCCUCUAAGUGAGUCUUAGUACAAUUGUAUGUCUAAGAAGAGGAAUCAAGAAUUGAAGAAAUGGUUAAAUCAAGAAGUCAAUCAUACUUCGUUCCAAAACAAGUCUUAGAGUUAAGAUUGUGACAUUGAGUGAUAAGUAUUAAGAAGGUUUAUAAUAUUCAUCAAAUAUGGAAAGUUGUGAUGUCUUGGAUAAGACAAAGACCAACUAG